AGUGAACGCUGGCGGUAGGCCUAACACAUGCAAGUCGAACGGCAGCACAGUAAUAGCUUUCUCUUACGGUUGGCGAUUUGCGGACGGGUGAGGAAUACAUCGGAAUCUACUUUUUCGUGGGGGAUAACGUAGGGAAACUUCCGCUCAUACCGCAUACUACCUACGGGUGAAAGCAGGGGAUCUUCGGACCUUGCCCGUUUCUAUGUGCCGAUGUCGGAUUAGCUAGUUGGCGGGGUAAAGGCCCACCAAGGCGCCGCUCCGUAGCUGGUCUGAGAGGAUGAUCAGCCACACUGGAACUGAGACACGGUCCAGACUCCUACGGGAGGCAGCAGUGGGGAAUAUUGGACAAUGGGCGCAAGCCUGAUCCAGCCAUACCGCGUGGGUGAAGAAGGCCUUCGGGUUGUAAAGCCCUUUUGUUGGGAAAGAAAAGCAGCAGGUUAAUACCCCGCUGUUCUGACGGUACCCAAAGAAUAAGCACCGGCUAACUUCGUG
RNAcentral lists this ribosomal RNA (492 nucleotides) under uncultured bacterium. RNAcentral's name for it is "partial 16S ribosomal RNA". It matches the Rfam family "Bacterial small subunit ribosomal RNA", at positions 29 to 507 of the family's 1533-position model. The record is from RNAcentral.